UACUUUUAAAAAGUAAGCCCAAGAAAAUGACAACUUAGGAAAAAUAUUUCCAACAUGUAUAAGAGACAAAUUGUUUAGAUCCUAAUUUAUGAAGAACUCUUAAAAAUUAAUAAGAAAAAAGAUGGACCAUUAUCAUUUUGCUUUCCUGAUUAACUGAUAUUUUAAAACAUUUUCUCACCCAGCAGCUACAGUGACAUUGUGCGGAUUUAUAAAAGGUAAAAGGCUUGUUUGUCUUUUGUACUUUAAGCAUGUCCCAGGUGGAUGUGGAUUCAGGAAUUGAAAACAUGGAGGUUGAUGAAAAUGAUCGAAGAGAAAAGCGGAGCCUCAGUGAUAAGGAGCCUUCCUCGGGCCCUGAAGUGUCUGAAGAGCAGGCCUUACAGCUGGUCUGUAAGAUCUUCCGUGUCUCUUGGAAGGACCGGGACAGAGAUGUCAUCUUUCUUUCUUCUCUUUCUGCACAGUUUAAGCAGAACCCAAAAGAAGGUAGGAAUCUAGCUCAGCAGUCUUACUGCAGAGUACUCGACAAGAAAAUAAGAUGUGAGAUCUUUGCCCUCUGUUAUCCACAUUCACUCCAUC
This 573-nucleotide small RNA is filed under the name Pan troglodytes (chimpanzee). RNAcentral's name for it is "retained intron". Lineage: Eukaryota; Metazoa; Chordata; Mammalia; Primates; Hominidae. The record is from RNAcentral.